GAACGCUGGCGGCGUGCCUAAUACAUGCAAGUAGAACGCUGAAGAGAGGAGCUUGCUCUUCUUGGAUGAGUUGCGAACGGGUGAGUAACGCGUAGGUAACCUGCCUUGUAGCGGGGGAUAACUAUUGGAAACGAUAGCUAAUACCGCAUAACAAUGGAUGACACAUGUCAUUUAUUUGAAAGGGGCAAUUGCUCCACUACAAGAUGGACCUGCGUUGUAUUAGCUAGUAGGUGAGGUAACGGCUCACCUAGGCGACGAUACAUAGCCGACCUGAGAGGGUGAUCGGCCACACUGGGACUGAGACACGGCCCAGACUCCUACGGGAGGAAGCAGUAGGGAAUCUUCGGCAAUGGGGGCAACCCUGACCGAGCAACGCCGCGUGAGUGAAGAAGGUUUUCGGAUCGUAAAGCUCUGUUGUAAGUCAAGAACGAGUGUGAGAGUGGAAAGUUUACACUGUGACGGUAGCUUACCAGAAAGGGACGGCUAACUACGUG
This 494-nucleotide ribosomal RNA is filed under the name uncultured bacterium. RNAcentral's name for it is "partial 16S ribosomal RNA". It matches the Rfam family "Bacterial small subunit ribosomal RNA", at positions 31 to 507 of the family's 1533-position model. The record is from RNAcentral.